CGGGGGAGGCCGGAUCCUGGGCUGUGUCCCGGCGCCCUGUGCUCUGUCGCCUGCGCUGUUGGAUUCGCGCUCCCGGGCCGCGCAGCCCCCU
This is a non-coding RNA of Canis lupus familiaris (dog), 91 nucleotides long. Lineage: Eukaryota; Metazoa; Chordata; Mammalia; Carnivora; Canidae. The record is from Rfam.